This 126-nucleotide long non-coding RNA is filed under the name Polistes fuscatus (common paper wasp). Its description in RNAcentral is "uncharacterized LOC122524416". The record is from RNAcentral. Lineage: Eukaryota; Metazoa; Arthropoda; Insecta; Hymenoptera; Vespidae.
GUUGAAAAUUGUCGAGUCGUGUCGUCGAGUCGUAAAAUCGCAUAUCUUCGAUUCGAUGUGUCGCGUACGAAAGUGUCGAUUCCAAGAAAACACUAACAGAGUGAACAAGCAAGUAAGCAAGAAAAA